RNAcentral lists this ribosomal RNA (252 nucleotides) under uncultured bacterium. Its description in RNAcentral is "partial 16S ribosomal RNA". It matches the Rfam family "Bacterial small subunit ribosomal RNA", at positions 333 to 583 of the family's 1533-position model. The record is from RNAcentral.
UCACCCUACGGGAGGCAGCAGUGAGGAAUAUUGGUCAAUGGACGCAAGUCUGAACCAGCCAUGCCGCGUGCAGGAUGACGGCUCUAUGAGUUGUAAACUGCUUUUGUACGAGGGUAAACCCCGAUACGUGUAUCGGGUUGAAAGUAUCGUACGAAUAAGGAUCGGCUAACUCCGUGCCAGCAGCCGCGGUAAUACGGAGGAUCCGCGCGUUAUCCGGAUUUAUUGGGUUUAAAGGGAGCGUAGGCGGUUUGA